Coregonus clupeaformis (lake whitefish) is the source of this 766-nucleotide long non-coding RNA. RefSeq lists it as uncharacterized. Lineage: Eukaryota; Metazoa; Chordata; Actinopteri; Salmoniformes; Salmonidae. The record is from RefSeq and is a predicted model, not a curated record. The transcript is spliced from 4 exons.
CAGGACCAAUGGGUGUGCCUGAGUCUUAUCACCUCUCAACUAGACAGGGUCCUGAACUUGUUGACUGAUGCCAUGGCGGCAGCUACUAAUUAGGGAGCAGCUGUGAAACAGAAGACUGCAGCCAAGCCAGCACUGGUCCACACCUGCCCUGUCUGUCGGAUGCCAUGUCUUUAUAGAAGACAUUCAAGCAGCACUUUGAGAGCAAUCAUCCCAAGUCUCUAAUGGUCCUAGUACUGGUUAAUGUGCAGGCCUAAGUGACCACACACACUCAAAUGGACCUACAGCUGGGACACACGAUGACCAUGAUUUGAAUGCUGCAACUGAGACGGAAUGACGUCAUUGGGACACACGCUGAGACCCCCAUUAUGACUGGACUUGGGCCGGAUAUUUGCGACAAUGUGUUUUUCAUUCUGCUGGAGUUGACCUAGUAUUUUACAUAAAACCUACCUUACGCAUCCAGUUUUUCCAUUUGUAACUCACCCACCAAAAUCACAAUAUGCUGUUUUACAUUGUGCUAUUUGUGCUGGUCUAAUUGCUAAAAUGGAAAAGCAGAAGAAUCUGUGCGCUCUCAGAUAGUAAUAAUAGUUCAUAUGGUGCUCUUCAAUGUCCCAUGUUUGUGACAUUGAUCAAUACAUUUAAGGUUGACUUAAAUUCAGAUGUUUAGAUAUUAUGUAUAACAGGUAUAUGUAUGCAUUGUUUACUAUUUUUAUUUAUUUAAAACAAUGUAAUUGUUGGAGUUUAGGUGUUUGACGUGACUGAUGGGCGA